Long non-coding RNA from Triticum aestivum (bread wheat), 2930 nucleotides. RefSeq lists it as uncharacterized. The transcript is spliced from 5 exons. NCBI's taxonomy places the organism in Eukaryota, Viridiplantae, Streptophyta, Magnoliopsida, Poales, Poaceae. The record is from RefSeq and is a predicted model, not a curated record.
CCGCUUCCGGCGAGCUCCGGCACCGCGCAACAUGUACCCGAGCUCCCCACAGUCCGCGCCUCCCUCCCCCGCGGCCAGAUUCUCCGCUCCCGGCAUCUAUCGCCCGCUCGCAGCCCCGCCCCCAUGGCUAGGGUUUCGAGCAGGGCUUCGCCGGUGCAUCUCCCGCUCGCCGUCUUCUCCCACCACGCCGGCCUCCCUUCGCUAGGCACCCUCGCACCUUUCGGCACCCUCGCACUGGGCAUUCCUUUCUCUCCCCCUCACGGCUCCUCCCGUCGCCGAACUGGAGCACCAGCCGAUUUGGGGCAGCAAUGCCACGAGCUAACACCCCUGCGUGGGCUUGCUCAAUCUGGGGCAGACGCGCCAGUUCUGGCGUGGAGAGAGGAGGAAGGUGAGACGGGAGGCCAAGGCAACGGCGAGAUCCACGUCGAGCUGCCAUGGCCAUGACCUGAUCCACGACGAGGUUAAAUGGGGGCGGCUGCUUCCUAAAGGACGACGAAGCUCUCCAAGGGUGGGCCUUCUGUUCUCCCCGAGAAUGAUGUACCCGUGGCAUGAUUGCUCUUCAUGUGUACGUGCUUGCUGUAUUUACCUGCAUCUGAUGGUUCUUCCAAUGUGCGUGUUUGAGAAAUACACCUGCAGAUUGACCCGGCGAAAUACAAGAGCAUCUCAUCUGGAUUUAGCGUUCUGCUAAAGGAGCAAGGAGCUAGGGGAUUUUUCAGGGGAUGGGUGCCUACCAUGCUUGGUUACAGUGCUCAGGGGGCUUGCAAGUUUGGGUUCUACAAGUUCUUUAAGAAGACCUACUCAGAUAUGGUUGGGCCUGAGAAUGCCGUGAAGUACAUGACCCUAUAAUUUACCUUGUAGGGUCAGCUUCUGCUGAGGUAAUUUUUGAUAUCGCUCUAUGCCCCUUUGAAACUGUCAUGGUCCGUGUGCAGACACAACCUGGAUUUGCUUGUGGGUUGAGUGAUGGGCUUCCCAAGUUCAUCAAAUCUGAGGGUGCUGCUGGGCUUUACAAGGGAAUUGCUCCUCUCUAGGGUCGGCAGAUUCCUUACAAGUGCUUUCUCUCAUCAUUCUGUUAUAGUCUUCUAAUUUGAAUUGUCACUACUAUGGUUGUUUCACAAAUGUGGCCUGCUUUGGAACCAAAUGCUCUAAAGCUGGUCCCCUGUUUCAUCUAAUCGGCCUGUUUGUUUUUCUUUGAUACCAAUUGGCGAUGUUUAGUUACCUUUUCUUCUCCUAUAUGAGCAAACUACUAUCCUAUUGAUGGCCAACCAUGCUGAUACUAUUCUAUAUUAGUUUUACCAUUUCUAUUUGUUGCCUAGCUUACGGACAUUAUUCAUCGACUCCUUAGAGUCAUUCACUCCACAGUUUCGAUGGAAGUUUUUAGCUGAAACUCCAAAAUUCACUUUUCUUGCCAAAAGUAAAUAUGUUAGCCAGACAUGAGAUUACUGUAUGUAUGUCCAUCCACACUUGCGCUGCAGCAGAAGAGAACAACUUAGCAUAUAUGACCCACACAAUAAUAAAGAAUAAAGAAAAGGAUUAGAUAUUUUUAUAUAGUAUAAAUAAUAAAGAAGCGUGACCCCAGACUGUUAAAUAUGUGAUAUAUAUCCAAAGGAGAGUGAAGAUAGCUUUUUUGUUGUGCUGCCAACUGGGUUAACAAAUUCAGAUUAUGUUAUUGUUCUGUACAACAAUACCUUGCUAAACGAUGGACGUCCUCAGCGAAGAAAGCCAUGUCCAUGACCCUCUAAAGAAGAAAGAACACAAGCCAUAAGAAACAAAUGCACUUUCAUAUACUUAGUAGAAGUCGACUCCAAGUGAAAAUGAGGAGUGCAUAGCCGGUUACCAUCUAAAGAUAUUGGCAUCAGAAAUCCUCAAACACCUCCUUGAACAGUUAAAUUGCAGGACAAGUUUACAUAGACUAUUUUGUAAAUUGCAAUUACUGAAUAUGAGCACACGAGCAAACAACCAGACAGUAACGGCCUAAUGGGCAGUGAUUAUUCAUGAGUGUCAUCCCAUAGAAUGUUCAAAUUCACUAAAAUAAGCCAAUUCAGCCCUUAACAGUCUAGCAGAACAUCUCUCACAGAUUUUGCCACUGAUUCGUGAGUGGGGAGGAUAUAGAUGCCAGGCGGGAUAUGGUGAGAUACAAUGCCGAUGUCUAACGACAGCAGUGGGUCGAGCGACACGGGCUUCUGUCCAGCGACGCCAAGAAAGAAGCGGUUGAAUGUUGUUUCAUUCCCCACGCGGCUGAAUCCAACUCGGUCUUUAUCCUGCCUUGGAGUUCUCUCUCAUAACUGAAGCCAGGAGGUAUGGAAGUUGUUGGUGUGGUGACCGCCGUAGGGCCCGGGCUGACUGGCAGGAACAUUGGGGAUGUUGUCGCCUACGCAGGCAAGCCGAUGGGCUCUUAUGCCAAAGAGCAGGUUAUUUCAGCCAAUGUUGGUUCCCAUCACGCCUUUGAUUGAUCACACAGCGGCUGCUAUCGUGCUGAAGGGGAUGACUGUCCAUAUGCUGGUUCACCACAUAUUUAAGGUACAUUUUGUCUUGCUCCUGCUGUGUGACAUACUGACCUGCUGCACAUCCGCGUGAAGCACACCCACCCGCUGCCGGAGGCGUCCCGCGCCCACGCUGACUUCAAAGCCCGGAAGACGCCGGGCUCCAUACUGCUGACCCUAUAGAACUAAGCACCGUCAUCUUUUUUGGGUAGGAGAAGAAGGCAUAAACAGGGGACUCGGCGAAGAAUCUACAAUGCUUGUCAAUAUGUUUGCAUCUGAACACUGAAUCCUUUGUCUCUCUGUUUCUCCUGGUUAUGUUGGAUUCAGUAUGAGUGAGUGUGUUUGUUGGUUAUGAGUUGGAUCGUGGUCUUGCUGUGCACAUCAUUGUUUGAAGCAUGACGAGUUGUAAAGACCAACAUUUUUCAAAAUAGUGACCUAGCAGGACAAGUA